GGCCUAGAGCCUGCUUGUCUAGUUCAGUACAUGCCACUGUAUCAUCUUUCUCUACUCAGCUAGUGUGAUAAUAAUUGUCAUACUGUGGCUGUUUCCUAAGUGCCUUGGCAAGGGCAGACUCAGAUCAAACUUCUAGGACAAUACUUGGCAUUAACUAAACUUCAUUUUCCUAAUCCACUACUCUCAGUUCUCCUAUGCCUUCUAUUUGAUCUUUAUCCAACCCCCAUCAAGAUCACUUCCACUUAAUACUAGCUGAUGUAUUAUUGGGGUAAGGAAUUAAUGCAAUUAUACUGUGAUUCUGGGAAUUGAUUCUCAAAAUGUAAGAUUAUUAGUUCUUUUAUAUUAAUCUAGCCAGGUGUUUUCUGAAAGUAGUGAGCUGGACUAAAAGACAAUGUGCUUUUAUGUAUAAAGCUUGAAUGUUCUGAGUUGGUCUAUGAUUACAUUUUAAUGUAUGUAAUUCCAUCUUCCUGUCACUGUAUGUACACACUCUACUUAUAUCUAAGAGCUAAGCAGAUGUUAGAUAUCCAUUCCUUUUGACUUUAAAAAAAAAAUGGAAGAUUCUCUUCAAAUUUUGGCAUGUACCAGUAUCAGAAGAAAUUUUCCAUCUGAUUAAAAAGAUGUGUAAUUCUAAGCUUAACUUGAAAAUACAUCUAAAUUCUUCUAUAUGACAUAAUUUUUUUGUAAAACUCACUUCAAUAUAAAAUUAACUUAUUGCUGAUAUUGAGUUACUAUAAAUUUUUCCUUAGAAUUUGGUAUUGCACUGAAAAUAAAGACUAAUAUUAUACAGUAGAGAUACUUAGAAUAUGCAAAAGAUGUGCCUGGCUACCAUCUCUAUAAAAUAAAACAUAGAAAAAGAAAGAAAAGUGGUUGAUAUAACUUCAUAUACAAUAUUUUGAAUUGUGGCAUUUGUGAUCAAAUAUGUGUAUUUAAGAGUAUAUAUGCUAUGGAUUGGUCAUUUUAUGCUCUAACAAAUAUACAAUAUAUUUAGAGGCUUAACUAUAUUUGUCACAGAUCUAAGAUCAAAAUCCUUCCAAAUAUAGGGUUUUCAGAGAACCCUGCUCAUGGUUUAUUGAUGACUACCCUCUUCAUACAGAGGAUCUAAAAAUGAACAAUUGGGAGACCACCAUAUUGGCAUUGGAGCCAGCAUAAUAAUUUUAAGAUGACAAAAACUACACCCUACAUCAGACUUCUAUAAAUAGCUACAAGGUUGGUGGCUUAAGCUUUAAACACUGAUUCUGAAAUUUUGGAAAUUCAAAACAAAAACUUUGGUAAUAUGGUUUUAUUUUAGAGUGUCCAUCUCCUUUUGGCUUCAUAGUAGUCGCAUGUCUCCAAGUUAAGACAUCAUUUUUUUGGUACCCAUAUGGUGACUGUUUUCCAAUGUAUUUACAGAUAAGUUGACACUACCGUAUCUGAACACUCAUUAUCACUAUAUUUAACUUCCCCUUCUAUUUACUGUAACCAGAGUGAUUUUGAGCCUAAAACAUUUAUGUUUUACUAAAGAGAAAGAUAGAAGAUAGAUAGAUGGGCAAGUUGUUAUGUAUGUAUGUAUGCAUGUAUGUAUGUAUAUAUGUAUGUAUUUAUGUAGGUAGGUAGGUAAAUAAAUUGAAUAAUUGUUUCUUUAUACAUGCACAUAAAAGUUUAUAAAAUAGACAUAUAGUAUAUAUACAUAUGUGUAUGUAUGUAUAUAUAUAUUAGAUAGAUGAUAGGCAGAUAAUAGACAUGAUAAAUAAUCAUCAAUAGAGAAAAUAAAGAAAGAAUAAUUACAUAGUUAAUUAGAUUAUACAUAUAGAGAUAGAUAGACAGGCAAACAGUAGUACAAACAAAUACUUGAUAGAUAACUAGAACUACAAAGGCAAGACUUUAGACAAUAUUGUGGGUGGGCAUUCACACACAUAACUUAAGUUGACAGUGACUGAUACUAAUUAUGAACACUUUUCAGUACUAUAUUUUCAAAGGUUUAAAAUAUAGAUUUUUUUUCAGCAGGACAUGAAUCUUCUAACAAUGGUGAAACUUGAAACUAGAUCUGCCAUCUAGAUACUCCUGGAGGAUCCUGUGGGAAGCUUUGUUUUGUUUUCUACUUUCUUUGCUGGCAAGAUACAGUAAUAGAACAUGAAAGGGUAGGAAGAAGUAUUGUUUUCACUAGCACAACACCCUUAACAGUCUCUUUUGUAACCUGGUAUUGAAAAUUUUUUAGAAUGAGAAAUCUUGGAUCAAGACUAUUUUGACUAAGAAAGUAUGUACCCAGGAAUGGUGAUCAGUUUAUAUGUAGUAGAAUUUUUUAAUGAAAGUUCAUUUGAAAUGUAAAUGAGGAAAAUAUUUAAUAAAACAUUUAAAUACUAGAGAAAAAUAAAAGAAUGGUAGAUUUAGGAAAAUGAAAUAGUCUCAUUUUUCUUCUGGGAAAUGUUCAAGUUAUAAGCAGGAAAGCACCAAAACCUUGAAACUGAUGAUUUCCAUAUAAAUUAUUCAUAAAUAAAUGUGAUUAAAAUGAUUAAAACUUGUGUUUUGUGUAAAUUCAAUACUCUUAGUAAAAGACAAAAGAAAAAACUAGUAGAAUUAGCUGCCUUAGCCAAGAAGGGGUUUGCAACCCCUUAGGAAGAACAGCAAUAUCAAUCAACCAGACUACCAGAGCUCCCAGAAACUUAACCACCAGCC
Molecule: long non-coding RNA, 2652 nt
Filed under: Mus musculus (house mouse)
Lineage: Eukaryota; Metazoa; Chordata; Mammalia; Rodentia; Muridae
Description: long non-coding RNA chr5:57451625-57454277
Source: RNAcentral